This 476-nucleotide ribosomal RNA is filed under the name uncultured bacterium. RNAcentral's name for it is "SSU rRNA". It matches the Rfam family "Bacterial small subunit ribosomal RNA", at positions 26 to 517 of the family's 1533-position model. The record is from RNAcentral.
AGGAUGAACGCUGGCGGCGUGCUUAACACAUGCAAGUCGAACGAGGUCCAUGGAGCUUGCUCCGGACGACCUAGUGGCGAACGGGUGCGUAACACGUGAGAAACCUGCCCCGAUCUCUGGGAUAACAGUUGGAAACGACUGCUAAUACCGGAUGCCGUCACACCGCUUCAUGGCGGAGUGCCGAAAGAUUCAUCGGAUCGGGAGGGUCUCGCGGCCUAUCAGCUAGUUGGAGAGGUAACGGCUCACCAAGGCAUCGACGGGUAGCUGGUCUGAGAGGAUGAUCAGCCACACUGGGACUGAGACACGGCCCAGACUCCUACGGGAGGCAGCAGUGGGGAAUCUUGCACAAUGGGCGAAAGCCUGAUGCAGCAACGCCGCGUGCGGGAAGAAGGCCCUAGGGUUGUAAACCGCUUUCAGUAGGGAAGAAAUGACGGUACCUACAGAAGAAGGUGCGGCCAACUACGUGCCAGCAGCCG